UACGAAGGGAGCUAGCGUUGUUCGGAAUCACUGGGCGUAAAGCGCACGUAGGCGGACUUGUAAGUCAGGGGUGAAAUCCCGGGGCUCAACCUCGGAACUGCCUUUGAUACUGCAAGCCUGGAGUCCGGAAGAGGUGGGUGGAAUUCCUAGUGUAGAGGUGAAAUUCAUAGAUAUUAGGAAGAACACCGGUGGCGAAGGCGGCCCACUGGUCCGGUACUGACGCUGAGGUGCGAAAGCGUGGGGAGCAAACAGG
This 253-nucleotide ribosomal RNA is filed under the name uncultured bacterium. RNAcentral's name for it is "partial 16S ribosomal RNA". It matches the Rfam family "Bacterial small subunit ribosomal RNA", at positions 524 to 776 of the family's 1533-position model. The record is from RNAcentral.